Molecule: long non-coding RNA, 865 nt
Organism: Xenia sp. Carnegie-2017
Lineage: Eukaryota; Metazoa; Cnidaria; Anthozoa; Malacalcyonacea; Xeniidae
Exons: 2
Source: RefSeq, a predicted model, not a curated record
GUUUGGAUUUGUAGCCAAUUUUGCCUUCAACAAACUAUUUUGAUAACCACAUCAAAACAUAGUACAAUAUCGUAUCUAAUAGUACGUUGUCCUCCUUGCUGCUUAUUUACAUCUUUACGAAGAAAUUAUCUACAUUGAAUUUAGCGUGAGCAGAAGCUUUGUGUAACAGAGUCAAGUAAACGUCGACCGAAACAGAAACGAAAGCCCGGUCGCAAUCCCAGAGUUCCAUUCACUCCCAAACAGCUGACGACCCUGGAAAACAAGUUUGAAACAAUGAAGUACUUGACAAGUGAUAAAGUUCGUAGUUUCUAUUUGGAACUGACGUUACCGGAAAACAAAAUCAAAAUAUGGUUUCAAAAUCGAUGAGCUAGGGAAAAAAGAAAAAGUUCACAAAGCAGCGAUGAAUAUGUUGACGUAAUGACAAUUGACGAGGAGAACAGUUAGCUAUGUAUGACGACACAUGCACUGAAAAUUAGUUAUAGUUUUUAUAGAGGUCUAUAGUUAGAAAAUCAGUUAUGCAAUCAUAGAGUUUGCAUUGUAGUAAUCUUGCACAGCGUACGUUCAACAGGACCUUUAUUUAUUGCUGUCAAUAUUCAAUAAUGAGCAUAGAAAUUUCAUCGAUGACGUCAUUCGAGCAUUUCCGCUUACAAAGAGAAAACACUUUGAAUGCAAAGUUUCAUAAUGGAAAACAUCGUAAAAAUCUCAGGUUGUAACAUAGGAUAGAAAAUAAAACAUACUUUUACAUUUCAUCAUGAUCUCAAUGUCCAUUUUUGUAAUAAAUAUAAAAAAUAAAAAUGCAUUUAAAGUUGAGUGACUUAAAAUAAGGUUUACACUGCAGGUCGAUUUAAAGACUGCAACAACAAAA